RNAcentral lists this ribosomal RNA (253 nucleotides) under uncultured bacterium. RNAcentral describes it as "partial 16S ribosomal RNA". It matches the Rfam family "Bacterial small subunit ribosomal RNA", at positions 524 to 776 of the family's 1533-position model. The record is from RNAcentral.
UACGAAGGGGGCUAGCGUUGCUCGGAAUCACUGGGCGUAAAGCGCACGUAGGCGGAUUGCUAAGUCAGGGGUGAAAUCCUGGAGCUCAACUCCAGAACUGCCUUUGAUACUGGCGGUCUCGAGCCCGGGAGAGGUGAGUGGAACUGCGAGUGUAGAGGUGAAAUUCGUAGAUAUUCGCAAGAACACCAGUGGCGAAGGCGGCUCACUGGCCCGAUACUGACGCUGAGGCACGAAAGCGUGGGGAGCAAACAGG